AGCACAAAGGCAUGGACACUUUAUGUGCCAUAAUUCUUCACUUACAAAUUGUUGUAUGAAGAAAUGAGAGUUGCCUUGAACAACUCUUGAAAGUUUUGUAAUUAUGUUUAGAACAUAAUGGUUGGUUGACAAAAAUAGUCCAUCAACAUGGACUUAUGAUGAUUUUGAAUCAUUGAGUGUUGAAGUGUUACACCACUUCUAGAGACGGAAACUAAGCAAGGACUUCACCUUUGUGUCCCUAUCCAAAUGGUUCACUAAGUUUAUUGUAAACUAUAUAGUGAACAAU
RNAcentral lists this long non-coding RNA (286 nucleotides) under Malus domestica (apple). RNAcentral describes it as "long non-coding RNA (MDOM_LNC004657)". The record is from RNAcentral. Lineage: Eukaryota; Viridiplantae; Streptophyta; Magnoliopsida; Rosales; Rosaceae.